Molecule: long non-coding RNA, 1617 nt
Organism: Cervus hanglu yarkandensis (Yarkand deer)
Lineage: Eukaryota; Metazoa; Chordata; Mammalia; Artiodactyla; Cervidae
Source: Ensembl
CUUCAGACCCGACCCUGACCCUCCCCAAACUUCAUCUCAACCUUGAACUUCCAUCCUGACUUUGACCUUGAGCCUAACUCCAACCCUUGACACAGACCCUAACUGUAUCCUGCCCUGUCCUCCUUCCAGGGAGCAGACGGGACUCAGGGACGCCGGGGACCCCCAGGCCUCUUUGGGCAGAAAGGAGAUGAUGGAGUGAGAGGCUUCCCUGGCGUGAUUGGUCCUCCUGGCCUACAGGUGGGUGUCUGAGUUUGAGGGUAUGGUCUCUGGUCCUCCCCACUUUGUGCCCCAAUUUUGCUUCUUUGCUCCACAGGGAAUGCCAGGCCCUGCUGGAGAAAAGGGAGAAGUUGGAGAUGUAGGGUCCAUGGUAUGAACUAUGGGGGAAAUGGGAGGAGUGGUAGGGUAGGGUUGGCCAUCAGAUCGAUUUGCGGGGUCACGGGGCACAUUGUUUGAAGGAUCACAUGGGUCACCAGUAUCAAGGGUGGUGUUUGUGGUUUGUUGUUGUUCAGUCACUCAGUUGUGUUGGACUCUUUGUGACCCCUACGGACUGCAGAACGCCAGGCCUCCCUGUCCUUCACUGUCUCCCUGAGUUUGCUCAAACUCAUGUCCAUUGAGUCAGUGAUGCCAUCCAACCAUCUCAUCUUCUGUCGCUCCCUUCUCCUCUUGCUUGGAACUUUUUGAGGGGCCAUGAGGUCACUGGAUGCUAUUCUGACUGUCCCAUAGGGUCCCCACGGAGCUCCAGGCCCUCGGGGUCCCCAGGGCCCCAGCGGAUCAGAGGUGAGGACUUGGGGGGCGGGCCUCAGGAAGCCUUAGGACAUCAUGUUCCCAAGAAGGGGCUGUUGGAAUCCCUCCAUCCCACCUGUACCCCUCGUUGUCUCUCCAGGGUCCUCCAGGGUUGCCUGGGGGAGUUGGUCAGCCCGGCGCUGUGGGUGAGAAGGGUGAGCCAGGAGAGCCUGGAGACCCAGGACCCCCAGGGACUCCAGGCACCCCAGGCCCCAGAGGAGAAGUUGGUGAAAAGGGGGAUGCAGGCCCAUCUGGGGCUGCUGGACCCCCAGGCAAGAAAGGCCCCCCUGGAGAGGAUGGAGCAAAGGGGAACAUGGUGAGUCCUGGGGCACAUGGAGGCCGAGACCCAGGGAAGGGCAUAUGUAUCAAUUCGAACCUGCUCCCCAACUUCCAGCCAGGGAUCCCGUGUGCUGAUUCCACAAGCAAUCCAGAACAGGACUGAGUGAAUGAAUGAUUGAGUGAAAGGAUGAAUCAGUGUAAACAUACAGUGGUAAUGGGUCAUGGCAGCAGGAGAAACUUGCUUCCACAUGGAGUCAUUCCAACAGUGCUGGAAAGGUCAAAGUUGAAACUGAUGCGGGAUCAGGGUUGGCUGAUUGGGAUUUGCCAUCAGGGCAAAGGUUGAACCCCUCCUGCCAUGGCGAUGGGACUCAGGGUGGGCAGGGAGGGUGGUGAGGGGCUUCAGAGUCUGAGGGACCUUGAUUUGAAUUUCAGCACCCCACCCCUUCCCGGGUCCCCUCUCUGAUUUUUAUCUGUGAAUCCCAAGCUGGGAGGAUGCAGUGUAAUGAUUCAUGGAACAUUUUUAGCUCCCAUUAAACACCAGAAUGUUCCUUCUAG